RNAcentral lists this long non-coding RNA (228 nucleotides) under Vicia faba (fava bean). Lineage: Eukaryota; Viridiplantae; Streptophyta; Magnoliopsida; Fabales; Fabaceae. The record is from RNAcentral.
AUGCCAUACGGAGCAAUCUCCAUGUCCAUCCUCACUGAUAAAUGCCAUGCCUCUAACUUUGCACCAAAUGCCUUGUACCCUGUCUUCCAGUCUUGUCUUGCUAAUGGACUUCAAUACCAUGCCUAUAUUGAAAGUCAAUCUCAACCUGUAUCCUUUCCAUCACAACCUACAUAUAGAAAAAAAAUAGCACAUCCGCACAUCAGUUACAGGACAUGCACUUUGAGCUAG